UGGGGAAUAUUGGACAAUGGGCGAAAGCCUGAUCCAGCAAUGCCGCGUGAGUGAUGAAGGCCCUAGGGUUGUAAAGCUCUUUUACCCGGGAAGAUAAUGACUGUACCGGGAGAAUAAGCCCCGGCUAACUCCGUGCCAGCAGCCGCGGUAAUACGGAGGGGGCUAGCGUUGUUCGGAAUUACUGGGCGUAAAGCGCACGUAGGCGGCUUUGUAAGUUAGGGGUGAAAGCCUGGAGCUCAACUCCAGAAUUGCCUUUAAGACUGCAUCGCUUGAACGUCGGAGAGGUGAGUGGAAUUCCGAGUGUAGAGGUGAAAUUCGUAGAUAUUCGGAAGAACACCAGUGGCGAAGGCGGCUCACUGGACGACUGUUGACGCUGAGGUGCGAAAGCGUGGGGAGCAAACA
Molecule: ribosomal RNA, 402 nt
Filed under: uncultured Sphingomonas sp.
Lineage: Bacteria; Pseudomonadati; Pseudomonadota; Alphaproteobacteria; Sphingomonadales; Sphingomonadaceae
Description: bacterial SSU rRNA
Rfam family: Bacterial small subunit ribosomal RNA
Source: RNAcentral